This 445-nucleotide ribosomal RNA is filed under the name uncultured bacterium. Its description in RNAcentral is "partial 16S ribosomal RNA". It matches the Rfam family "Bacterial small subunit ribosomal RNA", at positions 354 to 796 of the family's 1533-position model. The record is from RNAcentral.
GUGAGGAAUAUUGCGCAAUGGAGGCAACUCUGACGCAGCCAUGCCGCGUGCAGGAAGAAGGCGCUACGCGUUGUAAACUGCUUUUAACCGGGAAGAAACCCCAGGACGUGUCCUGGGUUGACGGUACCGGAGGAAUAAGCACCGGCUAACUUCGUGCCAGCAGCCGCGGUAAUACGAAGGGUGCAAGCGUUAUCCGGAUUCAUUGGGUUUAAAGGGUGCGUAGGCGGAGCGUUAAGUCAGUGGGUAAAUCCUGCAGCUUAACUGUAGACUUGCCAGUGAUACUGGCGCUCUUGAGUGCGCUUGAAGUGGGCGGAAUGUGCCGUGUAGCGGUGAAAUGCUUAGAUAUGGCACAGAACACCAAUUGCGAAGGCAGCUCACUAAGGCGAUACUGACGCUGAGGCACGAAAGCGUGGGGAGCAAACAGGAUUAGAUACCCGGGUAGUCC